UGCAUACCCCACCCCUGCAGUCAGGAGUGGGCAGCAUCAUGUUGCUGUCCCUCACACUGUGUGCUCCCUGCCACCACACUCUGCUGUUCCAUGUGCCCAGUUCAUGGUGCCCUUUUUCAGGAGGAGGAUGACUAUGACGUGAUGCAGGACCCAGAGUUCCUUCAGAGCGUCCUAGAGAACCUUCCCGGUGUGGAUCCCAACAAUGAAGCCAUUCGAAAUGCAAUGGGCUCUCUGGCCUCCCAGGCCACCAAGGAUGGCAAGAAGGACAAGAAAGAGGAAGAGAAGAAGUGAGGCCGGAGGGAGGGGUAGCCGAGUCUGCCCUGGGGACUGUAAGGAUGGGGUUGGAUAAAGACUUAGAUGUGCUCUGCGGCCUUGACAACGGAAUAAAGCUUGGAGUUUUCCCUUUGC
Molecule: long non-coding RNA, 408 nt
Filed under: Rattus norvegicus (Norway rat)
Lineage: Eukaryota; Metazoa; Chordata; Mammalia; Rodentia; Muridae
Description: long non-coding RNA NONRATT016651
Source: RNAcentral